AUGAUUUUCAUGUCCAUACACCAGUCCAAAACAAUCCCUUCUAUAAGCCUUCAAUACUUCCAAAAAAAAUGUCAAAAAACUUACUGCCCUACAUCCCCCCCACAAGUUUCUAUUCCAAAACUAAGUUGUUGUCACAACAUGCCAAAACCCUGCACUAAACAGUCUAAGAAUAUCACAAAAAAAGCAAAACAAAAACUACAUUACAAAGCAUUGAAGAGUGUAUCAUUAUUUGACUCAAUCUCUUAG
Non-coding RNA from Vicia faba (fava bean), 246 nucleotides. The record is from the annotation of a GenBank genome assembly. NCBI's taxonomy places the organism in Eukaryota, Viridiplantae, Streptophyta, Magnoliopsida, Fabales, Fabaceae.